RNAcentral lists this small RNA (800 nucleotides) under uncultured Capnodiales. RNAcentral describes it as "eukaryotic LSU rRNA". The stretch from base 524 to 800 matches the Rfam family "Eukaryotic large subunit ribosomal RNA", at positions 1 to 281 of the family's 3401-position model. Lineage: Eukaryota; Fungi; Ascomycota; Dothideomycetes; Capnodiales. The record is from RNAcentral.
CUUGGUCAUUUAGAGGAAGUAAAAGUCGUAACAAGGUCUCCGUAGGUGAACCUGCGGAGGGAUCAUUACCGAGUGAGGGCCUGCGGCCCGACCUCCAACCCUUUGUGGACCAACACCUGUUGCCUCGGGGGCGACCCGGACGCCGACGCGUCGGCGUCGGGCACCCCGACGGACCAUUUCAACACUGUAUCUGUACGUCGGAGUGAUUAGCGAAUCAAUCAAAACUUUCAACAACGGAUCUCUUGGUUCUGGCAUCGAUGAAGAACGCAGCGAAGUGCGAUAAGUAAUGUGAAUUGCAGAAUUCAGUGAAUCAUCGAAUCUUUGAACGCACAUCGCGCCCUUUGGCAUUCCGAGGGGCAUGCCUGUUCGAGCGUCAUUACACCACUCAAGCCCGGCUUGGUAUUGGGCGGCGGGGCUCCCCCGCGCCUUAAUUUCACCGGCUGGACAACCCGUAUCUCAGCGUUGUGGCAUCAAAUUCGCUGGCGAGAAGGGUGGCCCGUGCCGUUAAAAUUUCCAUCAAGGUUGACCUCGGAUCAGGUAGGGAUACCCGCUGAACUUAAGCAUAUCAAUAAGCGGAGGAAAAGAAACCAACAGGGAUUGCCCUAGUAACGGCGAGUGAAGCGGCAACAGCUCAAAUUUGAAAUCUGGCGCAAGCCCGAGUUGUAAUUUGUAGAGGAUGCUUCGGGGCAGCGGCCGGUCUAAGUUCCUUGGAACAGGACGUCAAAGAGGGUGAGAGUCCCGUACGUGACCGGCUGGCACCCCAUCCGUAGCUCCUUCGACGAGUCGAGUUGUUUGGGAAU